Notolabrus celidotus (New Zealand spotty) is the source of this 819-nucleotide long non-coding RNA. RefSeq lists it as uncharacterized. Lineage: Eukaryota; Metazoa; Chordata; Actinopteri; Labriformes; Labridae. The record is from RefSeq and is a predicted model, not a curated record. The transcript has 2 exons.
ACCUCAGAUUCCUGCUGUGUUGUUUAAACGGGGAGUUUCGCAGAGUUGGAGGCGAUCCGAAAAAGCUCAGGAGGCAGUGCCGUGAUGAAGUCCAGACGUGACGUCCCACCUUAUCUCUCCUGGGUGUUUCCACUCCAAACAUCGCUCCUGAGUGUAAAGGAUGUGACUCAAACGUGUUCGGUGCACGGUCCUGGUGAUGACAGACCGGUCUGACCCACAGGUGACAAUGUCAGACCUGUUUCUCACACUCAAGUGCCCAAACUUGAGCUUUAUUUUCCCUCCUUUGCUCUCAAAUAGAAAUGAGGUGCAACUUUUAUGGCUUUACCUUCUUUCUGCAAACACCUUUGCAGUGUUGGAGUUCAGUUUUCAAGGAUUUGAAGGAACAGAUAGCAGUGUGUGCUGCUGCCAUCUAGUGGUGGACUCAUGCUCUCCUGGCAGAGGCUCCAGCUUCUUGAAAUGAACUCUGAAGAAAGAAGUCAUAACCUCCCUUAUUCUCCUGUUUUACAAAUAAAGCAUCAAAAUUAGUUUUUCAUGCUGUACCCCUCAGGAUUUUAAAUCCUAACACUUUGGGGAAGUCUUAAGUUGUAGUAAAGUUGACAUAUUUGACUUGAAUCCACACAAACAUUUCCACUUUGCUGGCAGACCACAGAAAUGAAGCUUAGCAAGGCCUUGCUCCGUCCAUAUGGUGCAGAAAAGAAGCACAAGGUGUAAACACGACAUAUUGGAUUUAGUAAGCAUGUGUUAAGAUUCAGCAUUUGGCGUUUUAUGCACCUCUCUGUAAUAAAGUUGUAUAUUGAUGCUUGAUUGUAUCGUUACGCA